UCCAAUGAAUUAUUUCAAUCAAUUUCUUCAUAAAUCUCGCUUCGGUAUCUAUUCCUUUGAUUUGUAGGUUUCUGAUGUGUUUGCCAGCUUGUCAAAUAACACAUUAGUUAUGUAAAUUUACUAUAGAAACUAAAAACGUUUUAUAUAAAUUCUUCUUUUCUUAUACCCAAUUCAUUGAAAUCAAGUUUUCGCUCAUGGAAACAAAAGAAAGAUACUGUUUGAAGCAGUUUAACAGAAAUAAAUGAAUAGCGAUAUUAAAUUGUGUAUAUGAAUGGUAUAUGAUAGAUAUCUACUUGGCCC
RNAcentral lists this long non-coding RNA (300 nucleotides) under Setaria viridis. RNAcentral describes it as "long non-coding RNA (SVIR_LNC009447)". The record is from RNAcentral. Lineage: Eukaryota; Viridiplantae; Streptophyta; Magnoliopsida; Poales; Poaceae.